GUGGGGAAUCUUCCGCAAUGGGCGAAAGCCUGACGGAGCAACGCCGCGUGAGUGAAGAAGGCCUUCGGGUCGUAAAGCUCUGUCUUUAGGGAAGAACGGCGCAGGGAGUAACUGCCCUGCGAUUGACGGUACCUAAGGAGGAAGCUCCGGCUAACUACGUGCCAGCAGCCGCGGUAAUACGUAGGGAGCGAGCGUUGUCCGGAAUUACUGGGCGUAAAGGGCGCGUAGGCGGGAAUUUAAGUAAGGUGUGAAAACUAUGGGCUCAACCCAUAGACUGCACUUUAAACUGGAUUUCUUGAGGGCAGGAGAGGAAAGUGGAAUUCCUAGUGUAGCGGUGAAAUGCGUAGAUAUUAGGAGGAACACCAGUGGCGAAGGCGACUUUCUGGACUGUACCUGACGCUGAGGCGCGAAAGCGUGGGGAGCGAACAGGAUUAGAAACCCCAGUAGUCC
This 450-nucleotide ribosomal RNA is filed under the name uncultured bacterium. Its description in RNAcentral is "partial 16S ribosomal RNA". It matches the Rfam family "Bacterial small subunit ribosomal RNA", at positions 354 to 796 of the family's 1533-position model. The record is from RNAcentral.